Molecule: transfer RNA, 72 nt
Filed under: Anaerolineaceae bacterium
Lineage: Bacteria; Bacillati; Chloroflexota; Anaerolineae; Anaerolineales; Anaerolineaceae
Also listed under: 1 other name
Description: tRNA-Lys
Rfam family: tRNA
About the family: Transfer RNA (tRNA) molecules are approximately 80 nucleotides in length. Their secondary structure includes four short double-helical elements and three loops (D, anti-codon, and T loops).
Source: RNAcentral
GGCCCCGUAGUUCAGUGGCAGAACAGCGGACUUUUAAUCCGCGUGGCGCAGGUUCGAAUCCUGCCGGGGUCA